AGUGAACGCUGGCGGUAGGCCUAACACAUGCGAGUCGAACGGCAGCACAGUAAGAGCUUGCUCUUACGGGUGGCGAGUGUCGGACGGGUGAGGAAUACAUCGGAAUCUACUUUUUCGUGGGGGAUAACGUAGGGAAACUUACGCUAAUACCGCAUACGACCUACGGGUGAAAGCAGGGGAUCUUCGGACCUUGCGCGAUUGAAUGAGCCGAUGUCGGAUUAGCUAGUUGGCGGGGUAAAGGCCCACCAAGGCGACGAUCCGUAGCUGGUCUGAGAGGAUGAUCAGCCACACUGGAACUGAGACACGGUCCAGACUCCUACGGGAGGCAGCAGUGGGGAAUAUUGGACAAUGGGCGCAAGCCUGAUCCAGCCAUACCGCGUGGGUGAAGAAGGCCUUCGGGUUGUAAAGCCCUUUUGUUGGGAAAGAAAAGCAGCAGGUUAAUACCCCGCUGUUCUGACGGUACCCAAAGAAUAAGCACCGGCUAACUUCGUG
RNAcentral lists this ribosomal RNA (492 nucleotides) under uncultured bacterium. RNAcentral describes it as "partial 16S ribosomal RNA". It matches the Rfam family "Bacterial small subunit ribosomal RNA", at positions 29 to 507 of the family's 1533-position model. The record is from RNAcentral.